AAAAAAUAGAAAUAAAUAAAUCAGCAUAUACUUAGUACGUCAAGAUUUUAUGUGAACAAUAAAUGAUAAAACCUCUUGGACAAAAUUCCUUCAAGACUGGCUUAGUUCAACCAGAAGAAUGGCAUGACACUGUAUGUGGUUUUUAUUUAAAACGGGCAAAAUAUGCCUUCCAAAUAUAAAAUGAGAAAUGGACGACUCCUGACCACUAGCAAAAGUAUUUUAAUAUUCCAAAGAAAUCUUCACGCAGUUGCUUCCUUGAGAUAAGCAAUGAGAUCCGCCCGCUCCUGUGGCUUCUUCAACCCAGGGAAAACCAUUUUUGUCCCAGGAAUAUACUUCUUCGGGUUGAGCAAGUAGUCAUAUAAUGUGUUCUCUCCCCAGUUCACAGCCAUAUUUUUGUUUGCAUUGGAGUACGAGUAACCUGCAGUUGUACCAGAUUGUCUUCCAAAGAGCCCAUUCAAGUUGGGUCCUUGUUUGUGACCAGCUCCUUUAUCGACGGUGUGACAUUGAGCACACUUUGUCUUGAAGAUCUUUUCUCCGGCUUUAGGGUUACCUGGUGGUGCUUCCGCGAAAGAUGCCAUUUCUGCGGCUUUCUACACACACAGAUGAGAGAGAGAGGGGUUUGGCG
This 625-nucleotide unclassified non-coding RNA is filed under the name Hevea brasiliensis (rubber tree). Lineage: Eukaryota; Viridiplantae; Streptophyta; Magnoliopsida; Malpighiales; Euphorbiaceae. The record is from RNAcentral.